UAUGUGGAAAUUUGUUAAGUUGAUUUCAACCAGUCAACGCUACUCUGAUUUGCUGAGACCGCACGUCAUCAUAAACUCCACUCUGAUAUGCCGAGGCAAAACACGCUAAACAUUUUUUGGCUGCUGCAGUAGCUCAGCUCAGCUCGUUCAGUUCAGUUCAGCUCGCUCAGCUCAGCUCCGCUCCGGACCGGACUCAGCUGCCAAGCUAUAAGGUAAGACGAUAUGUAUAAGUUAAUGUAUUUGUAGUGUUAGUUGUUUUAGCUCUGUGGUCUUAAAUCAUCUGAACCUGCUGGCGUUGCCUCUCUUCCCAGGCAGUUAGCUAACUAGCUAGCUAGCUAACGAUAGCUAAACAGUGGCCAUAGUUAAAAUGGAAUUGGAAUUACUUUUGAGAACGACCGUAAUGCAAAUAAUAUUUACUGUAACCGAAGCUUUAACGUAGAAGCAUUGUCCGGUCAUUAAGUCAAUUCACUAACCAGUGCUAGGCUGAUAAGCCAAUCUAAGCUAAAUCAAAGAACCGUCUUUGGCUAAAUUCGCUAAGCUAGCGUUAAGUUAUAUAAGUUUGUGGCACCCACAAUUAACCUAGGCAACUGGGGGCAAUAUCAAGUGCAUUUUGAAUAGCCUGAAGAAGUAAGUUUAUGUUAAUAUUACAUAAAUAAGGCAAUUUAAAAUAGUUUGUUGUGGGAAAACGUUUAUUAAAAUAGCUUAAUAUGAUGUCUGAGAAUUAAAACGGCACGAUAAUUCUGGUCAGGUGUUAAAUGUGUAUUCCCGCCUUUAGCUUAGCGUUAGCUUAGCGUUAGCUUAGCGUUAGCUAAGCCAUAGCAUGAAGAAGUAAGUUUAUGUGAAUAUUACAUAAAUAAGGCAAUUUAAAAUAGUUUGUUGUGGGAAAAAAUUAAUUAAAAUAGCUUAAUAUGAUGUGUGAGAAUUAAAACGGCACGAUAAUUCUCGUCAGGUGUUAAAUGUGUAUUCCCGCCUUUAGCUUAGCGUUAGCUUAGCGUUAGCUAAGCCAUAGCAUGAAGAAGUAAGUUUAUGUGAAUAUUACAUAAAUAAGGCAAUUUAAAAUAGUUUGUUGUGGGAAAAAAUAAUUAAAAUAGCUUAAUAUGAUGUGUGAGAAUUAAAACAGCACGAUAAUUCUCGUCAGGUGUUAAAUGUGUAUUCCCGCCGUUAGCUUAGCGUUAGCUAAGCCAUAGUGUGAAGAAGUAAGUUUAUGUGAAUAUUACAUAAAUAAGGCAAUUUAAAAUAGUUUGUUGUGGGACAAAAAUAAAUGGCCAUCUUCAACAUUUUCUGAGAUUUCUAAUUUGUCUUUUUCUACUUGUGCAGAUGGAGUCAUGAAAUGUGACGGGACAGCCACCGAGGACUUCAUACUUCGGAGCAUCUCAAACAUGCACCACAAAGACGUGGAGGACACACCGCUGUCUCUCAGGACCUAGAAUCUUAAUGAAAGUAUAAUGAUGUUAAGGGAAGGUGUAAUGGAAAGGUGUAAUGUAAAGUUGUAAUGGUGUUAAGGGAAGGUGUAGUGGAAAGGUGUGAUAGUGUUGAGGGAAGGUGUAAUCGUGUUGAGGGAAGGGGUAAUGUUAAAGGUGUAAUAGUGUUGAGGGAAGGGGUAAUGUUAAAGGUGUAAUAGUGUUAAGGGAAGGUAUAAUAUUGUUAAGGGAAGGUGUAAUGCAGGGGUCUCAAACUCAUUUUUGCCGAGGGCCACAUUGACAUAUUGGCUGUCCUCUGAGGGCCAGAUGUAACUUAUAAAUAUAAGAAAAUGUAACCAGAUGUAAUAUAAAAUGAAUGUAAUUACUCCUUAAUGUUAAAUGACUCUCAAUAUACAAUUUAUUCAAUCAAAUAUUACAGUUGCAUGGAAAAAUGUUUGCUUGUUGCUCUAUUAACAUAAAUCCUUUUAAUUUGUCAUGUUAUGAAAUCCAAAAACUCCAUCAAUCAAGAACCAAACUAUUCAAGUGAAUAGAAAUUACAUCAAGUACAAGUUAUAUUAACUUUGAUCAAAACGUUUGAUACUGAAAUAAGGCUUAAUAAAUAUAAAAUCAAAAAUUGUGAGCUGUGACAGAUUUAGCAUUUCCUCAGAUUUAGCAGUUCCUCAUCCAACCACUAGUCGGAGCUGCAGCACCACAAGCCCGCAGUCUUUGCUUAGUCAGAGCUACAGCCCAGCCACGGGCUACAGGACUCAGCUGAGCCAGUCUGGAGCGUUUUGAAAUUUUUUAAGUUCUUCUGUGUAUGAAAUAAAAUAACCCCACUAACCGGAUAAUACAGCUCUCUACAGUUCAUCUUUCAGCCCAAGCAGCUAACAGCAGCAGUUCAGAGCAGCGUCACGGAGGCACUGCUGGGAUUACAUUAUAAACAGGUCAGUUAGCGCGCUGCUAACCUCAGGAUGUUUAUAACUACGGAGUUUAGUGGACACACCACGGCUGCAAGGUUAGACUGUUGAAGGCUACUGAAGACUACUAAAGCAGGCAACGCAGCGUAAGCAAAAAAAAAAAAAAAAAACACACACACACACACACCAAAAUACAAGUUAAGAUAAAAUAUGAAAACGAACAUAAUAAAGCAUAAAUAAUUAAAUUGAAUUGCGGGCCAGAUGUAUGUUUAUUUUGUUAACCCGUGAGGGGCCGUAUGAAACCGCGUGGGCCGGUACUUUGAGACCCCUGGUGUAAUGUAAAGGUGUAAUAGUGUUGAGGGAAGGUAUAAUAUUGUUAAGGGAAGGUGUAAUGUUAAAGGUGUAAUAGUUUUGAGGGAAGGUGUAAUGUUAAAGGUGUAAUAGUGUUGAGGGAAGGUAUAAUAUUGUUAAGGGAAGGUGUAAUGUAAAGCUGUAAUAGUUUUAAGGGAAGGUAAAUGUUUAGUGAAAUUGUUAUGGUGUGAAUCUAAGGUGUAUGUUAUGUUGAUGUAAAAUAAAGGCAUUAACCCCAAA
This is a long non-coding RNA of Astyanax mexicanus (Mexican tetra), 2908 nucleotides long. RefSeq lists it as uncharacterized. Lineage: Eukaryota; Metazoa; Chordata; Actinopteri; Characiformes; Acestrorhamphidae. The transcript has 2 exons. The record is from RefSeq and is a predicted model, not a curated record.